CCGGCGCUGCUGAAUCUACCUUUCGCAGUCGUUUUGGCUCUUGUUAAUGUGUUACCUGCUGUGGUUCCUUGGUGCGUAUGCCUGCUAUAUUGCUUCCACGCCUACCGACAACGUCCGCCCUACCUGCGACGAGCUUCUACGUCUAACGACCGCUUCCUACUUCGCACCCAAUAGAAUUCCUGCAUCGCCGUAGGGGCCUUUCUUCAAGAGGCAGGGGCGCAUCGAAAAAGACCACAUAGUGCGAAGACGUAUCUGUGCAAGUGAACAGACGGGAAAUAAAGUUGUUCAGCGACUGUCGAUCAGUCUCGUCACGUUGAAGACGUCCGGAUGCUGACGAUGAGAGCCACUGCAGACUUUGAAACUCCCAGAUCUUGAACGACAGCGUCGGAUGGACGACAAAGCGUGACACAGGGAUGGCGAGAGGGAAGUGCGCGCCAUUUCAUCGACACGGCCCCUCGUGUGGACUCUGGCACUACGACGACACAAAUCGGGCCAACUCACCGACGUCUACAUAGUUACGUCUCGGCUACGAGGGUCCGUGGUGGCCUCAGCGGCCACCCUUUUGGGGUGGCUUACAAGCCCAAUCCAACACCAGGCGGAGGCCUACCGGCACUGGGGGCUGGCGUUCAGGCACGGGCCGGAGACACCCGGCCAGCUCCUUCAGGUCGUGGAUGCUGGCCCGCAUCCGGCCUCGGGCCGGAUUGUGGCCAGUACUACCUACCAAACGUGGGAGGAGAUCACAGCCACCAGCGAAACCACGAAGCACCUCGGUGCAUUUAACAUCACGAAGGAAGAUGUGAUGAAGGCUGUGGAGAAACUUGGCAACAUGGGUGCAUAUAGCUUGCUCGACCGAAAUUGUCAGUGCUUUACGCGAAGACUGUUGAUGCUGUUGAAGAUACCCCUGCCCAUGGACAUCUUGCCUGCGGAAAGUGUCAUCGUGGAAGCUGUCACCGGAGGAGCACCAAAAGCAGCGCUUGCAUCAUCGGUUUUUUUUGUGAGGUUUGAUUCCGCACAGCUAAAUUGAAUUUUUAUGCAUAUAUUGCCACCAAAAUUUUUGCGCUCAAUCAGAAAGAUAGAUCCGAAAUUUCGCAGUUGAGCCCACACCACUAUGGCAUCGUCACCACCAUUUGUUGUCUCAGCUACAUAAUAGGGAGAAACAUAAUAGGGAGAAACAUAAUAGGGAGAAAAUUCCUUAGGCAUAAACAAUUGCCCUCUCUUCGUGAUAACGAAAUGAAACCAAAAUUGGACAGUUGAUGAACACAGAACCAAAACUAAGAUAAUCAUAUACAGUGUAGGAGGUUGCUGCUUCGCCACUUCUUCCGAGUAGCCAAGAAGACAAGAACCCAACAAGGCUUUUGAAACUCGUCGCUCAAGUCCUUCUCUCCAACAUAUUUUUUUUAAUGUAUUAGCUAAGGCAUUCGAUGUUCCUGUUUGUUAUGGAGACUACACGUAAGCACUGAUUUGCAUGUAGACUACCUACUGUUUGUGAUGUGUCCUCGUUGCAGGAAAGAGCGGUGUUGUGCAAUAAAUCAGCGCUCCUUCUAUGC
Non-coding RNA from Dermacentor albipictus, 1547 nucleotides. Lineage: Eukaryota; Metazoa; Arthropoda; Arachnida; Ixodida; Ixodidae. The record is from RefSeq and is a predicted model, not a curated record.